ACAUCUCCGUGUUUACGGUUUAGAGAGAGAAGAAAGACAAAGGAAAAGGCUCAUAGCCACAAGGGUUUAUAGAGAGAGAACAAGGAAGUAGGAAAAGUUCAUCGGCUUUGGUUUAUAGAGAGAGAAGAAGGAAGAGUCCAUCGGCUUCACAAACCCUAAUGGAAGAGGCCCUAACUGAUUUUUAGAGAGCGAAAAGGAAAGGAAGAUGGGAUGUUGAUUUGGGAUAGUUUGAAGAGGAUCUUUCUCUCUUAUUUGAGUUGUCUCUCUUUGAGAGAAAGCCCUAAUUAUACUGAGUUCUUGUUUGAGAGAAAGCCCUAAUUAUACUGAGUUAUUGUUUGAGAAAAAGCCCUAGUUAUACUGAUUUGUGAAGAGGCCCUAACUGAUUUUUGGAUUUGUGAAGAGGCCCUGAUUUUUAUAGAGAGAAAAGGAAGAGGGUUUUUCAUUUUGUUGGGGAAACAACAAGUUUGGGGGAUUGCUUGCUCCUAUAAGUUUACAGUUUACACUAUAUUGUUUAUUUUUGUUAUCGCAUAACCUGUACUCACAUUCGGUUUCUCAUUCAUUAGUAAAAGACUUAGUUUUGAGCUUUAAUUUGUGCCAUA
Molecule: long non-coding RNA, 599 nt
Filed under: Amborella trichopoda
Lineage: Eukaryota; Viridiplantae; Streptophyta; Magnoliopsida; Amborellales; Amborellaceae
Description: long non-coding RNA (ATRI_LNC004266)
Source: RNAcentral